GAGUGAAUCACUUAUGUGACGUACUGAAGGAUUCACGCUGUAAACUGGAGAGAUUGAGUCUUAUUUACUGUGGCAUUACAGAUGUUUCUUCUUUAACUCCGUCUUUGACAAACACAAAAGCUCUGGAGUUUCUAAAAGAGCUUGAUCUGAGAUUCAAUAAGAUUGGAGACUCAAAGCAGAAGCUCAUUGAUGUGCUACGAGACUCAAACUGUAAACUGAGUGUAGAUAGAGAUCCAUCACCAAAAGUCCCUGAUAGAGAUCCAUCACCAAAAGUCCCUGAA
Cyprinus carpio (common carp) is the source of this 281-nucleotide long non-coding RNA. RefSeq lists it as uncharacterized. The record is from RefSeq and is a predicted model, not a curated record. The transcript has 3 exons. Lineage: Eukaryota; Metazoa; Chordata; Actinopteri; Cypriniformes; Cyprinidae.